AGAGUGAACGCUGGCGGUGGCCUAACACAUGCAAGUCGAACGGCAGCACAGGAGAGCUUGCUCUCUGGGUGGCGAGUGGCGGACGGGUGAGGAAUACAUCGGAAUCUACCUUUUCGUGGGGGAUAACGUAGGGAAACUUACGCUAAUACCGCAUAAGACCUUCGGGUGAAAGCCGGGGACCUUCGGGCCUGGCGCGGAUAGAUGAGCCGAUGUCGGAUUAGCUUGUUGGCGGGGUAAAGGCCCACCAAGGCGACGAUCCGUAGCUGGUCUGAGAGGAUGAUCAGCCACACUGGAACUGAGACACGGUCCAGACUCCUACGGGAGGCAGCAGUGGGGGAAAUAUUGGACAAAUGGGGCGCAAAGCCUGAAUCCAGCCAUACCGCGUGGGUGAAGAAGG
Molecule: ribosomal RNA, 397 nt
Filed under: uncultured soil bacterium
Lineage: Bacteria
Description: bacterial SSU rRNA
Rfam family: Bacterial small subunit ribosomal RNA
Source: RNAcentral